This 948-nucleotide ribosomal RNA is filed under the name bacterium MB74. Its description in RNAcentral is "partial 16S ribosomal RNA". The stretch from base 61 to 388 matches the Rfam family "Bacterial small subunit ribosomal RNA", at positions 548 to 873 of the family's 1533-position model. The record is from RNAcentral.
CGAUGGCAAAGGCCUCCCCCCAGGUCCUCCUACUGUCUCUUCACGCGCCAUGUCUACUCUGAAUUACUGGCAGUCACGCGUCACGCAAGUCGAUUUGUAAGGCGAAAUGAGACACACCCCUCAUUCAUCCUGGGUCCUCAUUUGAUGCGACAAACUAGAGGAUGUAGAAGGAAGUAUUAUUUCUGGUGCAGGAGAGAAAUUAGUUAAGAUGAGAAAGAAUUACAGGUGGCGAAGACGUCCUCCCUCUACAAAAACCUGCGCUCAUGUACGAAGAGGUGGGGAACAAUCAGGUCUUGAUACCGUGGUACUCCACGCCGUAAAGGACUUCUAAAUAGGAAGUGGGUGUCUCGAACACUGCGUUCUCGAGCUCAAGCAUUCAGUAGCCCGCCAAGGAGCGGGCAGCAGGGUAAAAACUCAAAGGAAUUGAAGGGGCCCCGCACAAGCGGGGAACAUGGGUUUAUUCUAUAAACCCGGUGAAGCCCUCCGUGGUGUUCUAUUACCGGGGAAUUAUGUAAAACAUUUGAAAAACCCUCGGCAUUUUAAAAACAGCGGGCGAGGGGCUCGUCGCCCUCCCACCCCCGUCAUACAUAUUUAAUUGUGGAAACAAUGGUUGUCUUUUUUCGUGGUUUCUGGCCGCGCCAUACAUUGCACUCGAGUUUGUCUUCCGGCGUUAUACCGGGGGAAGGUGGGCACCACGUUCAUUUGUCACGCACAUUUGCCGUGAUGUUAACCUGUCUUACUAUCCGUAAUCAACCCAACCGAUCCUGCGUUUUGUUCAUCCUUAAUUACCGGCAUCGUCCGAGGGUGAGUCACGGCCCUCUUCUAUCGUAAACAUGAUUCGUUGGCGGGAUUUUAAUUUCCCCGUGAUAAUUUACCGGCCUUGGGCCCACCUCCAAACGCGCCACGGGAGAGUUCCGGGGCCCCCGUAGAGUACGGCUACCUGAGCGA